GCAGUCCAGUCAGAGUGAGAGAAAGGUGAACAACACUGGGGGAAAAGUAUUGGUAUAGGCUGUAAAUGAACGUGCAGACAUCGCUAAAAAUGAAGCCCAUUCAAUUGUAUUUUAAGCGAAUAAGAGACGAGGAGAAAGAGUAAUCAGGCGAGGGGGAUUCGCAAGGUUCAACUAAUGAAGCCUCUUCACAAGAUUUACGUGAGGCGGUUAGCGAAGCUACGGUGACCCCGGCUGUCACUUCAACGUCCACUGUAGCCGGCGGAGGGAGAACAUAUAGAUUCAAUGCGAAUUGGCUCAAAAUGUUCCCAUGGCUAGAGUUAGAAAACAAUGUAAUGUUCUGCAAAUAUUGUAGAAGGCUGAAACAGGCGGGCAACUCGUCCUUCGUGUCAGGAAAAAGAGAGAUAGCGCAGCGAAACAUAACAUCUGGCUGCGGCAUAUCCAGUGCAGAGAUCUGAACAUGUUGAGACAGGAGACACCAUAAAGCACGGUGUCAGCAGCCUUGAGGAGACAAGUGUUUCUGUCUGAGGAGGAGACAAACAUAACAUACUAAAUUGCGAAAGAACCUUUAGUCAAAUUUGUUCGGACAACAGACUUCGGGACACUCAACGCCAUUGGUGUUUUGGAUGCCACCAAGGCCGCAUAUCGUGCUGUUUGCCCAGAGGAAGAUGGCGGGUCAUGGAUGAAGAAGUGCGUCUCCUUCGGGGCAGAUGGUGCCACCGUGGGGGAGUGAUUGACCACCUGCAGAGGGGCAGGGGGGCAUAUAAUCCCAAUCCACUAGCCCUCCAAGUGUUCCUGAGGCAUGGACAAGACAAGGACCUUACCGCCGACGAAGGCCAGUACUCCGUUGUUCUGCAACACAUCAACAACAGCGGAUGUUCAAGGGCAGGCAAAAGAAGGGUAUAACACUGAAGGGGAAUCUGAAAGGCUUCACAGACCUCACCAAUCCCUAGCUGAAGCAGCACAUGGAGGCGGCCAUCAACAUUGGUGUGGAGGAUCUCAAAGCCAUGUUUGGUGGUUUGCUGAAGAGUGAGGUAGUCCAGACCCCAGUGGAGUCUUUCAGAGUGAUCGGGGUGCAACAUGGCUGCAAUCCAGGAUGAGUGGCAGGGGCUGUCAGCCACAAUUUCAAGGACAAGUCUUAGUGGCAUGUGGGAGACCAUGUUGACAAAGGACCCCUACAGGCACGAUUACAAGAACAUACUGGAGUUGGUGCAGCUUAUGCUGGUGCUGCCCAUUUCAGCCGCCCAGUGUGAGUGAGGCUUCUCUGUGCAGAACCGGAUUAAGAUUGACAAGAAGUUGCCUUGGGGUCUCUAUCACCGAAGACCUGAUGAGGAUCAGCCUGGGGGUCUUCUGUCGAGGAGUUGGAUCCCACUCCUGCCGUGGACCGCUGGCUGACCUCUAAGCGUGCCAGACGGCCAACAUACAAAAGCAGCUGGACAACUGAUAUCCUUUGCGUCUAGUAGCCAUGAGUCAAUGUAUGAUUGGUGGUAUGUGUCCCUUAUGUGUCCCUUAGUACACACACGCAGUAAAAAUAUGUAUGUAAUAAAUUGUUUGUUAAUAAACUCUGUGUUACUUGAACAUUUUCAUUGUGCUCCUAAAUUUGUGUGCUUCUACAUUUUUUUUAAAAUUAGAAGCACAUGUACACCUUGGGGAAAAAGUUAGCAUAUAGCCCUGGUAU
Molecule: long non-coding RNA, 1675 nt
Organism: Oncorhynchus tshawytscha (Chinook salmon)
Lineage: Eukaryota; Metazoa; Chordata; Actinopteri; Salmoniformes; Salmonidae
Source: Ensembl